AGUGAACGCUGGCGGUAGGCCUAACACAUGCAAGUCGAACGGCAGCACAGUAAGAGCUUGCUCUUACGGGUGGCGAGUGGCGGACGGGUGAGGAAUACAUCGGAAUCUACUUUUUCGUGGGGGAUAACGUAGGGAAACUUACGCUAAUACCGCAUACGACCUACGGGUGAAAGCAGGGGAUCUUCGGACCUUGCGCGAUUGAAUGAGCCGAAGUCGGACUAGCUAGUUGGCGGGGUAAAGGCCCACCAAGGCGACGAUCCGUAGCUGGUCUGAGAGGAUGAUCAGCCACACUGGAACUGAGACACGGUCCAGACUCCUACGGGAGGCAGCAGUGGGGAAUAUUGGACAAUGGGCGCAAGCCUGAUCCAGCCAUACCGCGUGGGUGAAGAAGGCCUUCGGGUUGUAAAGCCCUUUUGUUGGGAAAGAAAAGCAGCAGGUUAAUACCCCGCUGUUCUGACGGUACCCAAAGAAUAAGCACCGGCUAACUUCGUG
This 492-nucleotide ribosomal RNA is filed under the name uncultured bacterium. Its description in RNAcentral is "partial 16S ribosomal RNA". It matches the Rfam family "Bacterial small subunit ribosomal RNA", at positions 29 to 507 of the family's 1533-position model. The record is from RNAcentral.